AUUGAACGCUGGCGGCAUGCCUUACACAUGCAAGUCGAACGGCAGCACGGGAGCAAUCCUGGUGGCGAGUGGCGAACGGGUGAGUAAUAUAUCGGAACGUGCCCGGUCGUGGGGAUAACGUAGCGAAAGCUACGCUAAUACCGCAUACGAUCUACGGAUGAAAGCGGGGGAUCGCAAGACCUCGCGCGAUUGGAGCGGCCGAUAUCAGAUUAGGUAGUUGGUGAGGUAAAGGCUCACCAAGCCGACGAUCUGUAGCUGGUCUGAGAGGAGACCAGCCACACUGGGACUGAGACACGGCCCAGACUCCUACGGGAGGCAGCAGUGGGGAAUUUUGGACAAUGGGCGCAAGCCUGAUCCAGCAAUGCCGCGUGCAGGAUGAAGGGCCUUGGUUC
RNAcentral lists this ribosomal RNA (392 nucleotides) under uncultured bacterium. RNAcentral's name for it is "bacterial SSU rRNA". It matches the Rfam family "Bacterial small subunit ribosomal RNA", at positions 30 to 424 of the family's 1533-position model. The record is from RNAcentral.